UCCGAAAGAAAAAUUGUUGCAUGCCUUUUAUUCAUGUACUAUGUAUGAGUACAAAAUCAUCACGGAUGGCCAUACAAUAGCAAUUACGAUCGAUCUAGUGGGGGAAUCAAACAGUACACACACCGUACGAUAAUCAACACUGCUACACUGACCUGGCACCUGACGUCGGUUCGACAGUACCGAAGUAGGUAAGCUCGGCCAUUUAUUCUGUUAGGAAUGAAGCUGCGUUCGUUGUGUCACGUAAAGACGCUGCUCGACGGUGGACGACGCGACGAGGCUAUCUAGGCGGCGGUGACGGCGAUCUUCAUGCCGGACUGGCAGUGUCCGGGAAUGCUGCAGAUGAAGUAGUUUGUGCCGCGUGCGAGCGUGACGCGGUCGGUGCCGGACUUGUAGACCUUGGCGCCCUUGGCCGGCUUGGCGCAGGCCUUGUACCCCGCCGCGCUCACCGCCACCACGUCGUGCGCCGCCGCGUCGUACUUGAACACUGAAUGCAUCAAAGGUCUAUUAGUUUGCAAAAUGAAGGAUAGUUAAUUGAUGUAUCUUGCUCCUUGUGAACCACAAUACUUGUAGCUAAAGAAACUUGUAUCAGUUUUCUCCAACAGCAAGUAUUUAGAUACAAAGAAAGUAGUAAGUUUGAUGCACCAAUGCAUGCACUUGCAGAGAUGGGUGUAAUGGUACCUAGGACGUCGCCGGCCUUGAAGCGCUUGCCGGUGGGCCAGGAGUUGGUGUUGAAGGACCAGCCGCCGCGGUCGCCGACGUUGAACACCGCCGCAUCCGCCACGAGCGUGCAGAGAAGAAGCACGCCGAGGACCACGGCCACGUUGGCACUGCCUCUUCCCUGCGCUGCCAUUGCUAGCUAGGUUAGCAGCCGCCGAUCAGUCACUCACUCGAGCUAGCAGCUAGCAGGUAGCAGGUACGAGGAGAGGCGGGUAGAGAAAUGUUGGGAGUGAGGUGCGGUGGUGGUUGGCAAUGGAGUAGCCGGUGCGGUUUUAUAGGCCCGCCGGAGUGGAGGCGUGAGGGCAUGUAGGCCCCGUCGCACGGCCGAAAGGAGUGUCGGAAUACUGGUUUUCUUGGUAGGGUUGUAGUAUUUUUCUGGUGAUGGCGUAGAGUAGAGUGGAAUGGGGGUUGGCCAACGACCCACAACAAUGGAGGCGCGCCAUUACUUUCGUCUUUGGAGUUUGGACCCGACCGACGGCGACAAAUCCUACAUGCAUAGACUUGGAAGUGAACGUUUGAUGUAUCAAAAUUUUAUUAGUAACUAUGGACACCAAAGUGUGGACGGAGAAAAACUAAGCAAGAAGUGGCGUCCAAGUAUAAUUGGACUGCGCACUAUACGUUAUAAUCAAUCGAUCCAUCCAUCUCGACCAACAACAUCAAAUAAGCUUAACUUUCCCGCUUUUGCUAAACUUCACGCGCCUGAAAUAUUUCGAUGCGAGAGCUUGUUCUGUACAAUUAUUUUUUGCUUCAUAAUGCGGGGUGAGAGCCUGUUUCGUGCAAAAGUUCGCCGUGUCGGUCGAUUCACCCUUUGCCCCAAGCAUGAGACGUGGAGUCCUUGGCCGAGUGUGAGCUGUGAAUGAGCGUGAGCUGAUGUGGCCCGAUGACCAGUGGCAGACCAUAAUUUGAAUAUGGCCGCUGAAAGAGGAGGGGGGACCAAAUACUUUCAUACUUGUUCAUAUGAAUCAAAUAUACGCUAUAUACUUUAGGUUUCGUGGAUCAUUGGGGGGAGGCCCUGCUUGUCCCCCCUGUCUCAGCCCCUGCCGAUGACCAUGGCGACAAUGGUCCAGGGCUAGGAUGGCGAGACGAGCGUGGCACUGCGAGGCAGGAGCACGUGGCUCAUCCGGCGUCGAUAGACGGGCGCGGGGAGGAAGAAGAUGAAUAAUGCAUGGUCGGUCGGGGCCUUUGGAUGAAGAUGUAACGCUCUAGAAAUUUGGCUGGCGCAAAAAAAAAAAAAAAACACAAUUCGUGCACUUGACUCGUAGUCGGUCCCGAACUUCUCACUCGAGUACUGUAUGUAUAUACUCCCUCCGUCCUAAAAUUAUUGUCUUAGGUUUGUUUAGAAAUGGAUGUAUCUAAAUACUGAAACGUGACUAGAUACAUUCAUAUCUAAACAAAUUUAAGACAAGAAUUUUGGGACGGAGGGAGUACUACAUAAUAAAUGACACGUGAAAUGGCCGAUUGAAUGCUCUAGAUGCUCUUUGCCUGAUAAUUCUCACUGGAGUAGUGGCUAACCCUGGCGUGACAUCAAAGCAGGGUGGUGAGUGGGGCUUGCCGGUGAUGGAAAAUGGAAUGGAAGAGGGCUGGAACUGGAAGGUCAGGUGAGGUCGCCGUCGACUAGAAACAUACACAUAGGUUUCUGGUACAUCCGCAGUUACGUACAGCGUGUUGUACGGGUUCCGCUGCCUCCCAGUCCCCAACCAACACCACGCACCAGAACCCGGCGUCUCCGAUAACCUGCCUGGCCUGUCUUCCGCGGGCGGUCAAAGGCAACGACGGUGGAUCGUCGACGCAUGCAGGGCAGUUUGUUACUGUGGUCUGGCUAGUCCUCCGUGCUCCUAGUGAACGCGUAGAGCGAUGGGAACACAUCAAUCGAGACCAUCAUAAUCGACACCUGAAAGCCAGUGCCAAUACUACUGGCGAGCUUCACCUGUCCGAUUCUUUAUAAAAAAUACUAGUCGUUGGAUGUUUUCUCAUCUGGUUUAUUUUCAUUUCGUUUUUUGCAAAAAAAAAAAAAACGUUUGGUGUGUGUUUCAAAAAAGUAUCAUGUGCAUUAUAAAAUGUUUAGCAUAUAUUAAAACAAGUUCGACAUAAUUUAGAAAAACGAGCUCGGUUUGUCUAUUCAAAUAUUCAUUGCAUGUUAAUGAAAGUUCGCUGUACAUUUUUCACAGUAUAUAGAAAAAAAUGGUUCAGCGUAUGUUAUAAAAUUGUUCAAUCUACAUUGACAAAAGUUUGAUUUGUAUUAGUAAAAUUUCAUUGUAUGUGAAGGAAAAAUGUUGAAGAAAAAUUAAGCCUACAAGAAAGAAAAAAAGGAACAAAAUAAUAAAAGAUCACAAAGGAAAGAAAACCAAAUCAGAAACAAAAACAAAAAAACACAAAACAAAAGAAAUGAAAAAGAACAAGCCAAGAAAAGGAACUGAAAUGGAACUAACACCAAAGGUGGCGGACCUACUGGGCCAUCCGGCCUGGCUCGCUUUCAAGAUAAAAAUGUUUUAAAGAAAAAUCAUGAUUUUUAAGAAUAAUCAUUUUGAAAUGCUUGGAAUUGUUUAUGGAACAAAAAAGGUCACAAAUUUGGAAAAAAAUAUCUAAGUUAGGAAAAAAAUCAUCACUUUGAAAAUCUUCUUCAUCUUUAAAAUCUCUUUUCUUACAUGACUCAAUCUUGUACUUCUCAUCUGUAGAAAAAUAAUAAAUGUAUCAAAUUACAGACAUGUAAAUACCAACUAGAGUUUGCCAUAGUUUUAAUUUGCCCCGCAAUGCCAAGUCUACGAUGGACACACUCAACCAUUAAAGUUAUUGACCAACAUCGGCAAGAGUAUCAACCACUGUAUUUCAGGGACAAAAGCCGAAUAGUCAGGUCGAUGUCGCUCGGAGCCCAGAGUAUCAAUCAUCAUUGUGAAGGACGUAGGAGUCGGCCCAGAUAUUGCAAGAACAAUCCUCCUUGCAGCGACCAAGAGAAAAUAAAUCCAAAAUCAAUCUGGCGAAGCAAGAUUUGAAGGACCAUACCACUAGUGGGGACCGGACCUUUAGCCCCGGCCCGUAAGGGGCUUUAGUCCCGGUUCUCCAACCGGGAUUAAAGGGGCGGGACUAAAGGCCUAACCUUUCGUUCCGGCCCUCUUACAAGCCGGGACUAAACGUGCUCCACGUGGGCGUCUCGUAGCGCCUCAGGGGCAGGCCCUUUAGUCCCGGUUCAUUACACGGACCGGGACUAAAGAUUUUCAGAUUUUGCUGGUUUUGGGUUUUUUUUUGAAUGAAAUUAUUUUUGGGUUUAGGGUUUUAGGUUUUAGGUGUUCGGGAGAUUAACGUGAUGCCUCGUUUGGUGUUCGAGAAUUAGUUUUCAUAUAAUUUAAAUAGAAAUAAUUAUGCAUAUAUAUAUAAGGUUAACUUAUCUUACAAGCGAGCAUAUAUAUACAAUUAUAUGGAGAUCUAAAUUAUCGGGACUAGAGCCCGUCUAUUCGAUUACAUGGACGAACAUCAGUAAUGGCCCUUAGCUACACUAAAUCGUCCUUUGUCAUCUAUAGCUUCCGUCCUCAGAAAUCCCGCAAGCUCCUCUGCAACAGCAAUCGCGCGUUGCUCUGGUAGGACCUUCGUUCUCAUGGCCGUGUGCUAUAUAAGAAGAGGAGAUGAAUAUGAAUAUCAAUCAUGAUAACAAAGAAUGACGGGUAAAAAUAGAGGUGUGAAUGUUCAUUGCUUACGUCGAAUUAGUGAUCCUUGCGCUCAGAGGUAAACGUGCGAAUGGUCUCGCAAACAUAGUAUCCGCAUAGAUGCGUUCCCCGGGGCUGCUGGUCGCACUUUACGAGAAUAGAAUAUAUAGAAUCAAAAUAAUAAUCUAGCAUCAUAAAUGUAUUGAAAAUUAAUAGAAGUAUAUCAUACUACUACUUACCUGAGCCGCUCUAAAGGUCAGCUUCUCAGGAAAGUUACCGGGAGUCACGCACUUGAACCGCUUCCAAACCCUGCCCGACAAGGAUAAUGAUUUGCUAAGUUUUUCAUUAAUUGAUAUAUCAGAAAAUCAUCGAAAGAGACCAAUAGAGCGCAAGAAUGAUUAAAAUUACCCUUGGAGCAUGUCCUGGAGGCUUUGGAACUGUUCCAAGGAUCUCGAUAAUGGGUCGAAGGCAUCAACUCUUCCCUUAUCAAUUUGAAUGUCCAACAGAAUCCAAUGGAAGCUGCACAUGUAUAUAUAUAUAUGUGUGUGUGUCAGUAACUUAUCAAUUACACUUAUAAGUGAAUGGACACAACAGAGUAAAGACUCUCACCUGAAGUUGUAUGGAAACAGUAUGUGGUCACAGAAAUUUUGAUCUCUUAGAAACCUUAAAAGGUUUUCCUCCGUCUCCUUGGGUUUGUCAGUUAGCGUCGCUAUAUGUAUUUUAUCUGGGUCAAUAAACCCAAUAUUUAGGAUGCUCUUACUUUUACAAUCCAGAAUCUUCAUUCUGCAUAAUAGAGUACAAGUUAUAUAUAGACAAUGAAUUGAAAUAACUAAACAAGUUAUAUGUAGACAACGAAUUGAAAAACUUACAGACAAUAGCAACUCAUAAGCGAUUUGUCGAGGGCGUCGCCAUUGUACAUCUGGAGGAGUUCAUCAAAGUCGAUAUGGAUUUCUUCGGAGCGGCCGUAGUACUCCCGUGGGACACUCAGCACGAUCAUCGUUCUCCCAUUCUUUGAUUCACUUAAGUACCAUUUAUGCAAGUAAGCAUAUUUGUUGGGAGACCAUCUUUGCUGACCAAAGGCUCUCCCAUGACAAACUGUGGCUUAGGGGCUACCACAGCCUUGGGUAUCCUGUCGUCUUGGGAAGCCAGCAAAUCUUCAACCGAGACACCACAUUCAGCCGCCAACUCCUUUGCUAUUUCAAGAGCUAGCCCCUGCACCGGAGGGGGAACAUUCUCGGUUAACACCUUGAGGGGUGGGAUCGACUGUUUGGCCUGUUGUCCAAGCUGAGGAACGUCUGAUUUUUUCUUGCUUGUAGUUGAACUUGAUUUGCUCCCACUUGCACUUGCACGUGAGCUGCUCUUUUUCACUUCCGUCUGCAAUGUGCGUGUAUAGUCAUCAGGCUUAUAGUGUAAGUCAUACUAUGAUGGAAGGGUUAUGAAGUCUUUUGCCCAUGCUAUUUGCUUCUCGGUGUAUUCCGGGCGGGGCUCGGGUUCCUUCUUUUUCAUCUGCGCAUCAUGAUGUUCCUUUGCUAUCCUGGCGUUUUCCUCGGGGGUACGAUCAUAAGGUCUGAUAGGAAGAUUAGCAUGACGUACCUUUGGGAGGGGCGACCGUUUGCGCUUUGGGGGGCUUCGUGGCUUAGGAAUCGUCGGCGGAGCGUUCUUGGUGGCACGCUCCCGCUUAGUAUCCGGAGCGGGCGGCGGCGGAGACGGACGACCCAAGUCCGGCGGCGGUGAUCGAGAUGGACUCGUGUUGUGCUGGCCGACGUCAUGUGGAGGGCUUGGAGGUAAUGGAGGUGUAGGUGACCUGCAACGACUCGGAGGCGGUGUUGUCCUUGGGGCCGAGCCUCGAAGCUUGAUGUAGUUCUUGUCCCAUAGGAUGACUCCACCCAAUACUUCUCCGAGUGUCCUCUCAUCUUCGGGUCCAACUAUGUCGAGGUCCAUAUCAUUAAACCCCGUCAUGAUUUCAUCCACCCCGACUUUAGCAAAGCCAGUUGGAAUCUCACGGCCAUGCCAGCGUGCAUCAGGUCCAGAAGGUAAAGUUUGUCCGACGGCCACCUUCAUGGAUAUGUUCUUGAAUUUCUGAUGGAGUUCACAUGAUGUUGACUCCUUGAUUCCAUCCAUGGGGUAGCCGGGACCGCCCUCUAUCAUUCUUCGUUCAUCGUCGAGCGGGGCCUCAGAUUCAGCCACGCUGCUUUUCCGCUUAGAUGGGGCGCCGGUAAUAUCAAGUGCAGGAUCUUCCUGGCGCGCUACUCCUCUAAGCUCAUCAAUCUGCUUCUGUUGCUCGUUAAUCCUGGCAAGCAACUGGUUGAACUUGUCAUUCUCCUCAUCCUGCUGCCGCUUCUUUGCUCUCUCUCGGCUUCUGUAAGUGUCUUGGUCUCUGGCAAACCCAAGCCACCACGGGUAAGAAGGACCGAAGCCUCGCGUUCGUCCUCCAUGUUCGUCAUUGCCGAGGACCAGUGUGAGCAAAUCUUUAUCUCUAUCUGCAGUGAACUUUCUUUGUCCCUCCUUAAUUUCUUUCACUAUCCUUUUCCAAUUCUCCCUGGGUAUCCUAAGAUCGUCAUUCCAGAUGAGGUCCCCUGUUGUUUCGUCGUACGACCCACCAUGCGCAAGGAACCAAUUUCUUGCUCUCAAUUCCCACUCAUCACGGAGUGGUUCAGGUACGAUGCCUUUAUCUAUCAGAUCUUGCUCUUUCUUAUCCCAGUUUGGGAUGACAGUCUCAUAGCCCCCUGGCCCCAGCUUGUGGUGAUAUUUCUUCUUGUCGGCAUUUAUCUUGUUCUUUUCUGAUAAUGCCUGGGCAUCUUCUGACUCCUUGUACUCUUGAAAUGCCUUCCAGUGAUUCGCCUGCUUGGCUAGAUACCCCUCGAAUACUGGCACUUUCUUUGUCUUCAGAUAGUUUUUCCAUAGCUUCUUCUUCCAGCUAUGGAACAGUUCGUCCAUCUUCUUCAGAGUCCACUGCUUGACUUUGGCCCUCAGUUUGUCUGCGGUGUCUUCAUUCUCACAUUCUGGCAGGUUGAAAUGUGACAUGAGAUCAUUCCAAAGAUUAUCUUUGUACCUUUCGGCGACAUAGUCACUAUCGGCUGCCCCUUUGCGCUUGUUCCACUCCCGAAUGCUGAUCGGGAUGUGAUCCCUAACGAGAACUCCGCAUUGCUUCUUGAAUGUGUCAGCAGCAUUCUUAGGAAGCUUGGGUUCGCCCGUAGGAAAUAUCACCUCAAAUGUGUAAUGCGUCCGUGCAUCCAACUUUCUAGUCGGGCCUCGUUUCGUAGUUUUGCUCGAUGUGGAGGCCUAAGAGGGAGAAACAUUCGUCAAAUGAAUGUAUAUGUAUACAAUAUAGAGCUAUCUCCAAUAUUUUUCACAUAUUACAAGUGAUUGUCGAACUUCAUAUGUAUACCUCGCCGGACUUCUCCUCUUCACCGGCUUCUCCAUCAGUGGAGCUAUCACCUUCUCCGUCAUUGGACCUAUCUCCUGCCCCAUCGGCUUCAUCUUCGUGUCGCUCGACCUCCAUUCCAACGUCGGGGUUUAGAUAUGACGACGGAGAUUCAGCUGGUUCAACAUCGGGGCCGUCUUUGAUAAUGUCUUCGAGAAGUUCUUCCUCUUCGAGGUUCCUGAUAUGUAGAUCCAUAGUUCUGCAAAAAACGGAUUCUCUUAACCUUUGUACCAAAAAAGAAUUAUUCUAUCAGGAACUCCGUUUCAAAACAACUUAAGUCCCGGGUCGUGGCUCCACCCGGGACUCCUAGAUUUCUGCAUAGUAUUCAAAGUAGGAGUACUUUUCCAAUUUGAGCAUUCAAUAAGCAAAACCAAAUCGUAAAAUAAAGUAGUAUUCAAAUUAGCAUGCAUUCAAUUAUAAGCUAAUACAUCAUCACUUUUGUCCAUACAUCGUCGAAUAUUAUCACUAAUACUCCUCGAAUACUAUCAUACAUAUAGCAUCACUGAUACAUCUAGAACCGUAGCGCCCGACGGGUAUCGGCGCGGGCGGUGGACACCCAAAGAGAAGGAACCAUCACAGGAUCAUAGCUCCAGUGAGAUCCCCGAAGAACCUGCCAGGUAUGCUCGAACCUGCCCUCCAACGCAAACAUGUAGCGAUGCAGUUCCGCGGUGUCCGGAAGCCUCGGCACCCUCACUGGCCCACGCGACCGCCACCAAACAAGGAUCGGGUCAACGACGGGCUGGCUCCUCAUCAACCUACGCCCCCCGGAAGGUAGCACCUCCCAAUACCAGUUGGGCGGAGCCCAGUUCCGGACAGGGCCCCUCUGACCAAGCAGGUGUCCUCCGCCGAGUCGACGACGAGGAUGCGGGAUAGGCAUCGUAAAAUGAACUAAAAAAACAAACUAGUUCUAUUAAUUUUCUUGCUAAAAAUAAACUAUUAACACUUAAGCAUAUACAAUAGCAAAAUUAAACUAUUAACACUUAAGCAUAUACAAUAGCAAAAUUAAUCAAUAAUCUAAAAACACUAUUAACACUUAAGCAUAUACACUAUACAAUAGCAAAAUUAAAUGACAAUUUUUUUUUUCUUCUUCUUGUAACCCUAAACUAAUUUUUCCUCUUCUUAUAUUUCUCGUCUUCUUCUACUUCUACUUCUCCUCUUCUUCUACUACUUCUGCUCUUCUCUUCUUCUACUUCUCCUCUCCUCCUCUUCUAAUUUUUUUCUCUUCUUCUACUUCUCCUCUUCUUUUAUUUUCCUCUUCUUCUCCUCUCCUCCUCUUCUUAUUCUCCUUUUUCUUCUUUUCUUCUCCUCCUCUUGUUAUUUUCAUUUUUCCUAAUCUUAUUUUCUUAUUUUGUUCAUAUUUCUUCUUAUUGUAACCCUAACCUAAUUCUAAAUAUUACUAACCCUAAUAAUAUAGCACAAACCUAAUAACAAUAGGAAUUAAAUGACAAAAAAAUCUUUUUCUUUUUCUUAUUUUCUUCUCCUUUUUCUUCUUUUCUUCUCCUUUUUCUUCCUUUCUUCUCCUUUUUCUUCUUCUCUUCUCCUUUUUCUUCUUUUCUUCUACUGGCCGGAGUGUUGGGGAGGAGGGGGCGGGGGGCUUACCGGCCGGAGGUGUCGACGGCACGCGACGAGGAGGACGGCGCGGCGGCGAGGAGGACGGCACGGCGGCGAGGAGGACGGCCGACGGCGAGGAGGACGGAAGGCGGCGGCGAGCAGGACGGCGGGCAGCCUGACGGCGUCGUCGAGUUCGUCGCUGUGCCGCGCCGGGCGAGCAAGAAGAAGAGAAAUAGACGAUUUGGGUUGGAAAUUUUUGAAGUCCCGCUUAUAUAGGUGGAUCUGUAGUCCCGGUGUGUGGCUCGAACCGGGACUAAAGACCCCCUUUAGUCCCGGGUGGAGCCAUGACCUGGGACUAAAGGCCUCUUUUCGGGCAGACCAGGAGGCGGGAAGGAGGGGGUCUUUAGUCCCGGUGUCUUUAGUCCCGGGGCGUGGCUCCACCCGGGACUAAAUCCCCUCCUCGGCUGUACGAUAAGUUUAGUCCCACCUCGCCCAGCGAGGGGGACUAACACUUGUUUAUAAGCCCCGUCGCAGCUUCUCCAUCGAGCUCCUCUCUAAAGCAGGCUUACGGGCCUAAACUCACUGAAAAUUGUAACUAUAUUAGAAAUUAUAGGGAAAAUUCAAUCUAAAUUCAAAUGAGAAUUUAGAUUGAAUUUUGUCUAUGAUUUCGAAUAUAGUUUAAAUUUUUUCUAUUUUCAUAAUUAAUAAUUUUGACUAUCCAAACUAUUAUCUAUUUUGUAAUUUUCAAUUAAAAACUAUGUUUAUUAAAAAUUCUUUUUGCAUAUUUGAGAAUUUGACAAAACUGCACCAUUCAAAGGCACAUCACAAAAUUUCAACAAUUUCUGACUUCAUUUGGUAUAUUUCGUGAAUUAUCUAUUUUGUUAUUUUCAAUUAAAAACUCUGUUUCUUAAAAAUUCUUUUUGCAUAUUUGAGAAUUUGACAAAACUAUGAUAAUGAAAAGUGUUUCAAAUUGAAUAAAUAAUGCAAAACUAUUUUUUAUUUUCAUAAUUAAUAAUUUUGACUAUCCAAACUAUUAUCUCUCGAAGUAGCAGCGUUUCGAACGAGGACUCAUCUCUUACAAAGGGAUUUCAUUUUUUUGAACUUAUUUGAACUCCAUACUUUUUGUGUUCUCAAAAUGCACCAUUAAAGGCACAUCACAAAAUUUCAACAAUUUCUGACUUCAUUCGGUAUAUUUCGUGCAUUUACUUAUUUUUUUGAGCUAGUUGACCGUGAAAUUGAAAAGCACUACAAAUGAACUCUGAAAAUGUUGAAAGUUGGCAUGCUAUCAUCAUUUCACCCACAUAGCAUGUGUUAAAAAGUUGAGAGGGCUACGACAAAAACUGGAUGCAGUUCGUGUACAAAACGGACAAUCUCUCUCGAAGUAGCAGCGUUUCGAACGAGAACUCAUCUCUUACAAAGGGAUUUCAUUUUUUUGAACUUAUUUGAACUCCAUACUUUUUGUGUUCUCAAAAUGCACCAUUAAAGGCACAUCACAAAAUUUCAACAAUUUCUGACUUCAUUCGGUAUAUUUCGUGCAUUUACUUAUUUUUUAGGUACGUCACAAAAUUUCAACAAUUUCUAACUUCAUUUGGUAUAUUUCGUGCAUUUACUUAUUUUUUUUGAGCUAGUUGACCCUGAAAUUGAAAAGCACUACAAAUGAACUCUGAAAAUGUUGAAAGUUGGCAUGCUAUCAUCAUUUCACCCACAUAGCAUGUGUUAAAAAGUUGAGAGGGCUACGACAAAAACUGGAUGCAGUUCGUGUACAAAACGGACAAUCUCUCUCGAAGUAGCAGCGUUUCGAACGAGAACUCAUCUCUUACAAAGGGAUUUCAUUUUUUGAACUUAUUUGAACUCCAUACUUUUUGUGUGUUCAAAAUGCACCAUUCAAAGGAACAUCACAAAAUUUCAACAAUUUCUGACUUCAUUUGGUAUAUUUCGUGCAUUUACUUUUUUUUUGAGCAAGUUGACCCUGAAAUUGAAAAGCACUACAAAUGAACUCUGAAAAUGUUGAAAGUUGGCAUGCUAUCAUCAUUUCACCCACAUAGCAUGUGUUAAAAAGUUGAGAGGGCUACGACAAAAACUGGAUGCAGUUCGUGUACAAAACGGACAAUCUCUCUCGAAGUAGCAGCGUUUCGAACGAGAACUCAUCUCUUACAAAGGGAUUUCAUUUUUUAGAUUAUGGAACACUAUUCAUUUUUAAAUGACUAUUUUAAUCAAAAGUGGUUCCGCGGCACGCCACGUGGUUCCGCUGCACGCCACGUGGGACUAAUGGUCUUUCAUUUUUAAAUGACUGUUUUAAUCAAAAACAGAUCUAUUACAAAAGGGAUUUCAUUUUUUGAACUUAUUUGAACUAAAGACUUUUUGUAUAUAUAUGUGGUCGAAAUGCAUGAUACCAUGAAGUUUGAAAGGGCUAAACCAUUCAAAAGUAGCAAAUGAAGUUAGAAAGGGCUAAACCAUUCAAAUUUGGAAACUAUAAUGGCACAAACAGAAACUAGACAUAUAUAAAUUGGUCCAAGAAGUACAUGAUACUACUCCAAACAGUACAUAAUAAUAGCUACCAUAGAUAUAUAUACAAGUGUUCGACGUUCAGAACACUACUCGUCUGAAUCAUCUAAAUCAGAAUGUCCACCUUCCUCGAGGUGACGCUGGCCAUAGUGGACGACUCGAAUCUUGCGGUACAACUCGUAUGAAACGUAUGCAUCUUUUGCUGCAUACUCAAUGUUGAUAUCAUCAAGUGGGCCCUUCUCCCAAAGUUUGUGCUGAGACUUUGGGAAACUGGUCUUCAUAUCAGUAUAUGAAUCGUCGAUCAAGGCAACUGCCAUAUGAGCCAUCGAAGUCCUGUCAUGUCGAGGCCUGAAUAUCGUUUGGAGAUCAACGAGGCAACCAGCUGGUAUCUCAAUACCGAAGCUGUGCCUCAUCUUCAGCUUGUCGUUCCUUAUGUCAACGGAAGAAAAAGUGAUGCCACUGCGAAGGAAGUCCAUGAGUUCUGGACAAUGCUUGUCACUCCUGCAACAGAAACAAAUUAAAAUGGAACAAAUGUUACAUACUGCUGCAAUAAGGAAACAUGUUUCACUACAACUAAAGAGAAAAUUAUCUUUAGGAUUCAAAUAGAACAUAUGCAAUGGAACCUAGAGAGAUCACUAUAGCUAUCCAGUGGAACCUAGAGAGAUCACUAGCUAUAUGCAAUUGUCAUGACUAUGACAUAUCAUAUUGCUAUCCAAUGGAACCUAGAGAGAUCACUAGCUAUAUUCAAUUUUCAUAACCUUGGAUCAAAGAACACCGCAUAAAAUUGUAUCACUACAACUAUGAUUUCAAUGGAACAUAUUGAACCAAUCAGAUUUUUCAGAUUGUGGAACACUAUUCCAAUCAGAUUGUGUUCCCUUCAACUAAUAAAAAUUGUUUCACUACAACUAUUUGAAGCGAACCAACUAUGAUUCCAAUGGAACAUAUUAAACACUAGUUGAUUCUAAUAUGAUUUUUCAGAUUAUGGAACACUAUUCCAAUCAGAUUGUGUUCUCUUCAACUAAUCAAAAUUGUUUCACUACAACUAUUUGAAGCGAACCAACUAUGAUUCCAAUGGAACAUAUUAAACACUAGUUGAUUCUAAUAUGAUUUUUCAGAUUAUGGAACACUAUUCCAAUCAGAUUGUGUUCUCUUCAACUAAUCAAAAUUGUUUCACUACAACUAUUUGAAGGGAACCAACUAUGAUUCCAAUGGAACAUAUUAAACACUAGUUGAUUCUAAUACGAUUUUUCAGAUUAUGGAACACUAUUCCAAUUAGAUUGUGCUCCCCUUCAACUAAUCAAAAUUGUUUCACUACAACUAUUUGAAGGGAACCAACUAUGAUUGAAACAAAUAAACUUACAAUGUCAUUAUCUUGGAUCAAAGAAAGCCUCAAAACUUACCUCGCCCAUUGGAAGAUCAAGGCAUGGCGUGCGAAGCAUAGUUGGAUGACGGCAACACCGCGUUGAUCGGCCGUGUACUCCAGAUCAAGCCCCAAGAACUUCUCAUGAUCCACUGCGUUGUCAAACCAUAGUUCCUUCAACUGUUGAAGAAAAAGCGGCACCUCCCCGCUCAGGUUCGUGUACACGACAUGGAGCUUGGUCGUGCCAUGUGCGAGCACCUCAUGAAAGCUAGUUGGCAUGGUGGAAGAAGAGAAGGGAAGAAGAGAGGAGAAGAACACAGAGGGAGAGCGAGAGAGAAGAAGAAACAGAGAAAUGGCGACUGUACGCUUCGGUUCGUUCUUUUCAUCGCCCGAAACGACGCAGAUGCAAACCGUUUGGGUCCUUAGUCCCGGGUCGAGCCACCAACCGGGACUAAAGAGGUAUACCAACGGUCGCCACCACUACGGCAGGCCACGUGUUAGUCCUUUAGUCCCGGGUUGAGCCACCAACCGGGACUAAAGGGGGAUACGAACGGUUGCCACCACCACUGCCCGCCGCAUAGCCCUUUAGUCCCGGUUUGGGACACGAACCGGGACUAAAGUCUCCUUACGGGUCGGGACUAAAGCCUCGAGGGAGGCAUUGAGAAUUGGGGCGACGUGGCCGGGCCUUUAGUCCCGGCCAGAGGCAGGUCGGGACUAAUUGGUCCCGGCCAAAGGCCCAUUUUCCACUAGUGUACCUUGAUAAAAUAAAUCUUCCAACAUCACCAUUGACAUCGAGAAGGAGAUUUUGUCGUCAAACCAAGGGCGGAAAAUUAUUUAUUAUAGACAAUGCCAUCUCCAAUGAAGAAGCCGAUAGUUACCAAAACCCUACACCAAUCUAAUAAAAACAUUGCUGUUAUUAAGAACUCCACUCAUAGAUCGGUCCGCCGUCCCUCCCAACGCCGCAAAAGGUCGGUCGGAGAAAAGGGAACCGAUCUAUGAUGAAGACAAAGGUGGUGGUGGCGUCCUCUAGGUUUAGAGAGGACCUCUUGGGCGAGGGAAGGAAACAUUGGUUAAUCCUCCAUCUUUUUGCCUUUGUGUUCAUACUUCCAUGCAAGUAUGGAGAGAGAGGCAUUGUUGUUACCCAUCAACAUUUUUACACUUGCCCAACUAUGAAAUUCUGUAGGGCCUAUGUAGUUGUUUUCUUCUCUCUCGAAAGGCUUUAAAAAUAGUUCACAGAAACUCUUGAUGGACGACCAUUGGUAUGAGAUAUGGACCCAGUUCUUUUCGUCCGGUUCUGGUGAUUCUAGGUUUGAAAAAUCAAAAGCUUAAAAUAACACGAUUUGCUUCUUCAAAAUCAUCAAUCAACACAAUCGAGAGUGUAUCGCAGAAUCCAGCAAAAAGGUCGAUUGUGGCGAUUCUGAUAAGUUCCACCAAACAAAAUGUUUUGUCUAUACACAAUACUAUUUGGAACGCAAAAUUGCUAGGGAAAUGGCACCGGUGGCCAGCUGCGCGAACGAAAACGAGUCGUGUGACUCGUUCCUCUCACCCUCGAUUUCACACUCCCCGCUCAUCCUCAAGGUAGGGUUCCAGGGCUGCCGCCACCUGAGAGCCCACCCUGGCAGCUCCUCCGCCCGCCCGACGCAGACCCUCUACCCCGCUCGUCCGCUCCGCCCGCUCGCCUCCAGGCCCGGAGCCGCUGCUCCGCUCGCAUCCAUCCCCGGAGCAACUGCUCGUCGCCGCUCUACAACCGACACCCAACACUAAAUCCGCCUACUCCACAUGCUGCCGGACGCCGUCACGCCGGAGUUCGCUCAGGUGGGCUCUCCUCUCCUCUCUAUUUUCUCUGUUUGUCAUGUCGUUCAAUCGUUGUACAUAGAAAAGCAGAGGAUAUAUGGAUGCAUUUGUCUGUUUUUCUACUUGUGAAUGGUUCUGUUUUGCUAAGGCUAUGGGCUAAUGGAAAUACAUUGUAGUUGGAUAAAGAAAAGAAAAUCAAGGCACCUAAAGAAAACUGGAACUGUGCGGCGCAUACUAUUUAUAUGGAUGCGUGUGUAGAAGAGGUGCGAGCUAGUAACCGUGGCGGCACCACUUUGACUAACGUAGGAAAAGCUAAGCUGGUUAGAAAGUUUAAUGGACGCUCCGAUUGAAAUUAUUCUUCUGACCAACUGAAAAAUAGAUGGGAUAUAUGUAGAGCAGAGUACAGUGUGUGUGUGGAAGACAUUGACUCAAAAAACAUCUUGUAUUGGUAGAGAUGAAUAUAUGAAGACCAUUGCAACUUCGGAUGAGUGGUGGGCAUUGGAGAUAAAGGUAUGUCCUCGUAUCAGUUAUUCAAAUAAUGUGUGAUACUCUUGUUUCAUUAUUUAACCAUGAGUUCGGGUAUUUGAUUGCAGGCAAAUCCGGUGGCUGCCAAGUUCCGGUAUGCUUCACUACUAGAGGAGGAAAAAAAUGAGAGAGGUGUUUGACGCUUCUUGUGUCACAAAUGAGAACUCUAGGGUUCCAAUUCCCACAUAUAUAUCAGAGUGGUUCAUCUUGCUUCAAUAUGGAUGAUGACCCAGGUUGUGAAAGCUAUGAUGUCGAAGCUACACCUCGCCCAAAGCGGGGCAAGAAUGGGAAGAAGAUGUCUUGUUCUUAUUGGCCAAGUCCUAAGAUGAAUGAGAAGUGGUGAAAUGAAAUUGUUAAAACUGAUGCACUUGUGCAUAUGAUUGACCUCUUUGGUGCAAGGAAAAUAAGAAAGGGAAACUCUGGAGAGGAUAGAACAAUAAAGGAGAUUGGAGACAUGAUGGACAUGGUGAUUUGGGAUGGUGCUAAACCUGGGAGUGAUGUGCAUUUCUAUAAUUCUCAUAUUAUGCUAGAAAAGAAAUAUCGUGAUAUUUUCGUAACCUUCAAGGGUCACCAACCUAGUUCAAGGCGUCGAGGGAUAGCGAGGACAUGGGAGCUCAACAAGAAUAAGUAGAGCCAUUUGCUUGUAAUGUUGUGAACUUAUAUGUACCGUUUGCUUUCAAUUAUUUGCUUCAAACCUAAAAUGCGUUGAACCCCAACUAUUUGCUUUGAACAUGUUUUGCUCUCAUAUUGUAAUGUUCACUUGUCCAGAACAUAAUUAUUUGCUUUGAAAUUGUGUUGUAUCAUGUUGAACUAUUGUUGAUAUUUUAUCUAUGUUGUUGCUCAACUCUCAUGUGUAUGUUUAUGUGGCAGAUGAACACUUCAGAUGAAUUGGACACUUCAUAUGAAUCAGACGAGGAAUGGGAUUUGGCCAUGUAUGCAUGUGCUAUAAAAAUGGAGUCGUCAAAUGAGAGAUUGUCAUAUGCACCAAGAAAGUUACACCUUGUCACUGGCCUCCAAUGGGUGGAACAGAAGGAACAAGAUGCAAAAGUUUUCUACUCUAUGUUCAUAAUGAGGAGAUCAGUGUUUACUCAUUGCAUGAAUUGCCGGUUCAGAAGUACGGGCUUAAGUCAACUUGCAACAUAUCAUCGAAAGAAGCAUUGGCACAAUUUUUAUGGACUUUGGUGCAUGCCAAACAACUGAUAAUAUAGCAGAUCGGUUUGGACAUAGUUGUUCUGUCAUUAACAAAAACUUUCAUGAGGUUUUGGAGUGUGUAGACCUCAUGCCUGGUGAUUUCAUUAGGCCUAUUGAUCCAUCAUUCUCCGAACCACACCUUAUACUACGAAAAACAAAGUUUUGGCUCAUUUCAAAAAUGCUAUUGGAGCCAUAGAUGGAACACACAUUGAAGUGAUUGUUCCUAAGGAGUUGGAUCCACAACACAGGAAUAGGAAAGGAGUUACAGAUGAAAAUGUCAUGGCAGUCUGUGAUUUUGAUAUGAGGUUCACUUCUGUUGUUCCUGGAUGGCCCAGAUCUAUUCAUGACACACGUGUAUGGAGUGAUGCUAUAGUUCGUUAUGAUCAUUUUCCACACCCAUAGGUAAUCUCUUGUAUGUCUUUGUGUUCUUAUGUACAUGAUGGUACGUAGUUAAUUUCUAAUAUCUUCUCGUGUCUUACUAGAUAAAUAUUACCUUGUGGACUCCGGAUAUCCAAACAUAGUUGGAUAUCUAGCACCCUGCAAAGGGCAACGAUACCAUGUACUGGAGUUCCAACAACACCCACCCGUUGGUAGACACGAUACGUUCAACCAUCGUCAUUCUUUUGUAUGAAAUGUCAUCGAAAGAUCAUUCGGUGUUCUCAAGAUGAAAUAGCGAGUACUCAGAGGCAUACCAUGGUACAAACUAGAGUCCCAAAAGAUGAUUGUCACUGCAUGCAUGUGUCUCCACAACUUCAUUCGUGAUAGCAAGUUGCAUGAUGAGCAUUUUGACAAGUUUGAUAAUGAUGCGUAUGUGCAACCCCCAUUGUCAUUUACAGGCGCCAACGCUCUACGACCCGAAGAUGAUGGUACCAUGGCCGCAACACAUGAGGCUAUUGCUACCAGUCUUGUAUCAUGAGAUUAGUAAAUCUAUUUGUACUGAAACUUAUUUUGUAGCAAAGAAAACGCGGAAAUCUUCUUUAUUGUAAUAUUUAUCUAUCUAAGAUAAUCAUAAAUCGUAUUCAUGCUCAUAUUUGAUGAUAAAUUGUUCGAAACAUCUAAGUAUAUUAACAAUCUAGAAUCUAAUUUUUGUUCAAUGGCGUUACAUAUAUUUUAGCAUACAACUUGUUCCAUAAUAUCAUACCAUAAUCUCAAAAAAGAAUUCGACGUCUGAUUUUGGCUGAUUCUGGGGAAGCUGAUUCUAGAGGAAGUUUUUCAAAAGCUGAUUCUCAAGAAUCAAAAGGUAAAAAAAUUUGGGCCAUGAUCAUCUAUGAACCAAUGGUCGCACUUGUGCCGGCCUCGCGCCUCGGCUCGCCCUCAUCGAGGACGCUCCAUCUAGGCCUUGGGACACUCUCAGGCAAAAUCGCGUGACACAUUUUUGUAAUUCAGGCAACCGACAGAUAGCAAAACCAGAAGAAUAAUUGUUGCACGCAUUUUUAUUUUCGUAUAUAUGAGCACAAAAUCAGUACACAUGGCAGCAUAUACAACAGCAAGUACGAUCGGUGGAGUCGAAAUCAAACAGUACACACACCGUACGAAUAAUACCCUCAGCCUUUUAUUUUGGUUAUUAUUAUUAUUACUCUCGUGUCACGUAACGUCGCGCGUACGAGUUACGUGCAUGAUGGACGAUGGACGAGGCUAGCUAGGCGGCGGUGACGGCGAUCUUCAUGCCGGACUGGCAGUGUCCGGGGAUGCUGCA
This 18401-nucleotide long non-coding RNA is filed under the name Hordeum vulgare. RNAcentral's name for it is "long non-coding RNA (HVUL_LNC014431)". The stretch from base 2013 to 2148 matches the Rfam family "MIR1120/MIR1122 microRNA precursor family". The record is from RNAcentral. Lineage: Eukaryota; Viridiplantae; Streptophyta; Magnoliopsida; Poales; Poaceae.